This 1045-nucleotide ribosomal RNA is filed under the name uncultured archaeon. Its description in RNAcentral is "partial 16S ribosomal RNA". It matches the Rfam family "Archaeal small subunit ribosomal RNA", at positions 319 to 1478 of the family's 1478-position model. The record is from RNAcentral.
GUUUUAAAUAAAACCAACUCUCACACAAUCGCGCGAAAGCGCGAUAGAGGGAAUCCCAAGUGUUUGCACUAAAAAAUAAACUGUUUCUAUGUAAAAAAGGCAUGGACAGAAAGGGCUGGGUAAAACGGGUGCCAGCCGCCGCGGUAAUACCUGCAGCUCAAGGGGGGGUCGUUUUUUUUGGGCCUAAAACGUCCGUAGCGGGUUUAGUAAUUGCUGGGGGAAUGGGGCCGCUCAACGGCCCGAAUUCGGGGGGGACUGCCAACUUUGACCGGUUUUUUGUUCUUCUCGGGGCCAGGGGAAAUUCUGGUUCCUAGGGGGGCCCCCCUUGGGGAAGGGGCUAGCUGGAACGGGGCUGACGGGGAGGAAAAAACCCCUGGGGCGCACACCGGUUAAAUUCCCGUGGUAGUCCUGGGUGGAACCCUCCUCGCUUGAUUGGGUGGGUUUCCGAGCCCAAUCAGGGUCGGAGAGAAGUUGUAAAAAAACUCCUUGGAAAGUCCAAUCCCAAAAUUUAAACUUAAGGGAAUUGGUGGGGGUUUACAUCACCGGUGGGACCGUGCGGUUUAAUUGGAUUAACGCCGGAAAACUCCCCGAAGGCGAUGUUUUAUUAAAAGCCGGGGUGUGGACCUGCUAGUUUUCCAGGAGGGGUGGUUGGCCUCUUCAAUUCAAACCAAAAGCCUCUUUUAAUCAAAAAAGAACGAACCCUCUUUUUUAAUUCAAACAGGAAGCCCGCUUUUCGGCCUUUUGCCCCGCGGCGGAAAGUUAAAGAAGCCCAUGUCAACGGUGGUCCGAUCCCCGAAUCUUUUGGUUUCUCCCCCCCCAAAAGAAAAGGACAAUGGCCUCCCCCCCCACAGGGGGGGGUUAUCCGGAACCCCUUCUCCGUUCGGAGGCGAGGUGUGGAAUCUAACCUUCUGGAGCUGGAAUCCGGAGAACCCGGGCCCCCCCCCCCGGGGGGAAAAGCCCCUGUUUUUUGAAAACCCAAAAGGGGAUUUUUUUUAACUUGCUGGGCUAUUUCUUUUUUUUGGGGGUUUUUUUUACGACCUGCGCG